This 376-nucleotide long non-coding RNA is filed under the name Nicotiana benthamiana. Its description in RNAcentral is "long non-coding RNA (NBEN_LNC002868)". The record is from RNAcentral. Lineage: Eukaryota; Viridiplantae; Streptophyta; Magnoliopsida; Solanales; Solanaceae.
CAGAUUAGGCAUGCUAGGUAAAGAAGUAAGCAAUAAAAAGUGCAGAAUAUAAAGCAUACAUUGAACAUGACAGAGUUUUAGAAAUUUUAGGCAAAAAAGAAUGCAAAAUAUAAAGCAUACAUUGAAUAGGGCAGAGUUUAGACAUGUUGAGCAAAGAAGUAAGCAGGAAUACAAGUUGAAUUCAUAGCUGAUGAACUAGUGCAAGAAUGAAACAUAUAGGGUUUGGAUUUCAAACUUAAUUAGAGACAUACUAGUUAAAGAAAGGGUGCAUAAUAUAAAGCAGAUGAAGUUUCAAUAUUUAGCCUUGACUUUCAGCCCGCUAGAUCAGUUAGUAUCGCAAGUAGCAAAAGAGAAAAAGAAAGAGAAAGAGUGUAAA